GGCUUGGUGGCGCAAUGGUAAUGCGCUCCAUGUACCUAUAUGCAAUGUUCAUAUAGUUCAACGGAAAGUCUGGAGUUCAAUUCUCUGUCAAGCCA
Mycena latifolia is the source of this 95-nucleotide non-coding RNA. The record is from the annotation of a GenBank genome assembly. Lineage: Eukaryota; Fungi; Basidiomycota; Agaricomycetes; Agaricales; Mycenaceae.